AUGAACGCGCUCAUUUUCCACCUCAAAACAACCCUUUUUGCAACGUUCCUAACAUACAACCGCGGCAAGAGCCCAAAUCUCGAACGGCACAGCUUUCCCGUAGGAUUGGUCCAUGCUAUGGUGCGCGCCCCACUCUGCGAGGUCUCCUCGCCAGCCUGCGCCCUCACGGCAGGUUUCUCAGAGCGCCUGGAGUCUGAGAGCAAACGCCGGGGCAUUUGCUCCGCCGGCCGACGCGGCUACGCGGCCGGGCAGGGCAUCUGGCCUCCCUGUGCCACCGGGGACUUACUCACUUGCUCCAGGCGCAGCUCCUCGCCCAACAGCAGCCCAAGUUUGGCGGCAGCUCGUUCCGCCGGGCUCUGGGGCCAGGGCUGCUGUGCCCUCGCCGCUAAGGCAGCCCCGGGCGGCGGCUCCCCCUGGUCGCUCGCAGCCCGGGCCGGGGUCCCGCCGCAGCCGGGCUGGGCACCAGCGGGAAAAGUCCUUCCCGCCGCUGCGGGUGACGUCUCGCUGCCUUGGAAAGUUGGUGGCGCGGAAAGGGUUAAGAGAGAGCCCCAUCCCGCCGCCCCCGCCGAUCUGCGCCGCUCCCCCCCACCCCCGGCGCCCCUUACCUGGCGGAACGCGCCGGCGGGCUGCCCCCCGCAUCCCCGGCCGCGGAUCCUGGGGCGGGGGACGCCCAGCCCGGCCCGGCCCGGGGGCGGCAGCCGGCGGAGCUCAGCGGGCGGCGCUGCGGGGGCUCAUCCCUGCCCGCGCUGCCGCCCUGCCCUGCCCUGCCCUGCCCGUGCGGGCACCCGCCGAGCGGGGCCGCCUCUCCACGCCCUCCGCGCCGGGCGAGGGGCGGGCGGCGAGGGGGCUGCGCCGCUUCCCUCCCUCCCUCCUUCCCUCCCUUCCUCCCUGCGCCCGGCAGCGCGCACGGGCGCACGCAGCACAGCGCCAGGCACCGGCAUCGGCUCCGGCACAGCCUCCGCCCCGCGCCGCCCGCUCGCCGAGCAGGAAACUCCUCUUAUUUAG
RNAcentral lists this long non-coding RNA (1005 nucleotides) under Lonchura striata (white-rumped munia). RNAcentral describes it as "domestica (Bengalese finch) lncRNA (ENSLSDG00000016942.1)". Lineage: Eukaryota; Metazoa; Chordata; Aves; Passeriformes; Estrildidae. The record is from RNAcentral.